AAAAAGCUUCCAAUAGCAUGUAGAGAGAGAGAAUGGGUGGGUGCUUUUCGGACAGAAAGGGAGGACAACAGGCUAUAGGAGGGGCACAACAAAGGCCCAUGGCCAUGAGCGAUGAAAGAGCUGCUGAACCCAAUGAUGCAGUUGAUUACUUCUUCAGGGCUCGCGGUUAUCAUGGCCUCUUCACCCAACUCGAGGU
Molecule: long non-coding RNA, 196 nt
Organism: Telopea speciosissima
Lineage: Eukaryota; Viridiplantae; Streptophyta; Magnoliopsida; Proteales; Proteaceae
Exons: 3
Source: RefSeq, a predicted model, not a curated record